This is a long non-coding RNA of Peromyscus eremicus (cactus mouse), 419 nucleotides long. RefSeq lists it as uncharacterized. The record is from RefSeq and is a predicted model, not a curated record. NCBI's taxonomy places the organism in Eukaryota, Metazoa, Chordata, Mammalia, Rodentia, Cricetidae. The transcript has 3 exons.
CUUGACACAAGCCAGAGUCAUCAGAGAGGAAGGAGCUUCAGUUGAGGAAAUGUCCCCAUGAAAUCCAGCAAUCUGAAGAAACACUUCGGAUGCAGAAUACUCAACCUGAGCAUCCCACUGGAAAACCCUCAGCAACUGUAGCUCACGAUGUCCAUGAAGACCUGAUGACUGGGACAACCAUGAAGUAAGAAGCAAGGUUCAGCUGAGAUGAAGAAAGAACAAACUACUCCAUGCUUCCUAUCAAAUGUUGCUGAUGAAAGCCGGGAGAAUGACAGAGCAGACCUGCAGAUGCUUGGAGAGCCUACUUCUUUGGUAUUCCAUUAUUUACUGAAGACCAACAUCCAGCCUUGGGAACUGAGCAACUACAGGAUUCUUGGGCUUUCUGUUUGCAGCCAGCCAUUGUUGGAUUAGCUGGACCA